UUGACAGCCUCAGAGGUCAAUGCCCUUUCUUUGUCCAUAAACCAAGUGCAGAGAUACCAAGAGCUCAGAGUUCCCCAUCCUGCUCCAAACUCUGUUCUGAAGGAACCAUCCUUAUGGGAUAAGAUGUUAGUUUACUCUUCAUGCCCAUUUAAGCAAUAUUAAGU
This 164-nucleotide small RNA is filed under the name Chelonoidis abingdonii (Abingdon island giant tortoise). Its description in RNAcentral is "TUC338 (ENSCABG00000017819.1)". The record is from RNAcentral. Lineage: Eukaryota; Metazoa; Chordata; Testudines; Testudinidae.